GCAGACACAUUCCAGCCAAUCAGCAGCAGACCCUCCCUCCCAAACCCUCCCACCUCCUGGACAGCAUCCAUUUUACAUUCAUUGUGAGUUGUCCAGGAGGUGGGAGGGUCUGGGAGGGAGGGUCUGCUGCUGAUUGGCUGGAAUGUGUCUG
This is a non-coding RNA of Pelobates cultripes (western spadefoot toad), 151 nucleotides long. The record is from the annotation of a GenBank genome assembly. Lineage: Eukaryota; Metazoa; Chordata; Amphibia; Anura; Pelobatidae.